UCAAAGCCCUAAAGGAGGAGAACGUUCAGAUGGUUCUUAUAAACCCCAACAUUGCUACUGUACAGACAUCAAAAGGGCUAGCAGACAAGGUCUGCUUCCUUCAGAUUACUCCUGAGUACAUCACCCAGGUUACCUCCAGGUGAUUAAAAACGAGCGUCCCGAUGGGGUCUUGUUGGCAUUUGGAGGGCAGACGGCCCUGAACUGUAGAGUGCAGCUGACGAAGCAGGGGAUCCUGGAGAAGUACAAAGUGCAGGUCCUGGUCACCCCUGUGGCCUCCAUUGAGAUGACGGAGGACAGGAAGAUCUUUGUAGAGAAGAUGGAGGAGAUUAAUGAACACGUAGCUCCAGGCCCUGGCUGCAGCCGAGAAGCUUGGUUACCCUGUUCUGGUGCGCGCUGCCUUUGCUCUAGGGAGACUGAGAUCUGGAUUUGCUGAUAAGGAGGAGCUGAAUUCUCUGGUGAUGCAGGCUUUCGCUCACACCUCGCAGGUCCUUGUCGACAAGUUCCUCAAGGGCUGGAAGGAAAUUGAGUAUGAAGUGGUCAGGGAUGCUUAUGACAACUGCAUUACAGUAUGUGUGCCUGGAGGUUUGCAUUUUGACCCUAGUGCUUGGUAGCAUACAUGGUCACCAUGGCCGUAACUAGCUAUGAGGACACCAAGGUUGUGUCCUCGGUUGUUCUUUUGCAUCAUCAAUUCUGGUAAACUACAAAAGACUCCUUAAUUUUCUCUGUUGGUUUGCCGUGUAACAUAGAUUUAGAGGUUCAAUAGUAAAUACCAAGCAGUCAUAAAUCGUGCCAGCUAUAGAUUGAAACCUAAGUUUGACCUCGGUAGAAUGUCAGCUCUGGUUGCAAUGCUGGUGGUCGCUGAUUGUCUGUCUUUACACACAGGUGUGUAACAUGGAGAAUGUUGACCCCCUCGGUAUCCACACUGGGGAGUCUGGCUCCCAGUCAAACCCUGAAUGACCACGAGUACAAUAUGCUGAGAAACACAGCCAUCGAAGUCAUCCGUCACCUGGGGAUUGUGGGAGAAUGUAACAUCCAAUUUGUAGUGCCAUCUGCUGAACAAGUGUGAGCUGCUGCCUACAGUCCAUGCACUUGAGAGUAUGGGAUUGUGACAGGCUGGCUCGCAGUGGUGAGGUGUGGUGACGUCACGGACCAGGAAGUACAGAAACCAAAACAAUGGAUGGGCGGGUGAAGCUGAGUGCAAUGGCACUCAGCAUAUUUAUUAAUAAAUCAAACAAAAGAUUUAACCAAAACAACAAAACAAAGGGCACGAGGGCCAAACGAAUAAACAGACAAACAACUACCUGGAUCACUUGACUGAACUUGGACGCAUCAGACCUGCUGGAAAAGAUGCUUCUUUAGCCGCAGCAACAACUACGAUACAGAAAGGGAUAGAUAAGGAUUUAACAAUUGAUGGGUACGGGAGAUGUACGGUUCCUUCACAGUCUUGCCUAAGCCAGCAUGUGAUUGUAAAUGUGCAUGCUCUGGGAAUCUCUGUAAGCACAUUUGUUUUGCAAGUUUAGUGUUAAGAAAAGGGCAGAUCCAUAAAAAGAACUUGGCUACGUUGAUCAUAGAGAACAGCGCAUAUGUUAUUGAUUGUGAAAACUUGUCAGUUUUUAUGGACAAUGGCUGCACUAGUGUUGUCAACAUGAAAACUGUUUAUUGCUCUUGUAAUACAAGCAGUUUUUGGGAACAGUGUGUUGUCAACAUGUUUUUAAAAUGCUAAAUGUUAAACAAACUGUACUUGAUAAUUCAGUUGAAGAAACAGAAAACACUCCAUUCGUCCAAACCACUCCUACACAUAAUCCAGAUUUACAGAAGUUGUUGUCGGAACUGCUUAACUGGAGCAAAUCCUCUAAUUGCAUCGAGGCUACAGAGUUAGAUAAAUCUACUGAGAGAGCGUGCAGGAUUGCUUUGGUCGGUUUUGUUCAUGUACGAAACACGAAAAAUAAUAGGCAAAAAAUGAAAGGAACAAAGGAUAGUGUGAGAGAACGUUAACUGGAGCACUUUCUGAAGGUGCAGGUAUGUGUCUUGGGCUACAGAGUCAUCCCAUUUUCAUGCUAGUUUAGGUCUUAACAUAAUUUAACUUAUUUGCUUAAUUGGACCAGUUUAACACAAGUCCCACAAGUUAAAAAGGAAGAAGCAGGGUUUCGAAAAAUAUAGGUAAACGUCCCCACGUGUUGCUACAACUGUUUAAAUAAUGUACCUGUAAUUUUUAUUUUCAUUGUUAACAUCCUGACAACUUUUUACACUUAUAACUGUUUCAAAGCUCUUUUCAAAAUGGCUGCUCUAGUGUACUGGGGUUUGAGAAUUAAAUGGAUUUAAAAAAAAUAAAACAAAAAAAGCAUAACAAGUGCUCUGGCUUUUAUGUUCUGUACCACAUCAUGGAUCAUUAUUCCUGUUACCUGUUUGACAAUGUGAGCAAUAAUCCUAACACUAUCAGUGCACUAGAGCGGACAUUUUGCAAAUAUCUUUGAAACAGACUUUAAAUGUAUAAGUGUAAAACGUUGUCAGGAUGUUAACAAUGAAAAGAAAAAUGACCAGUAAAUUUUUUUUUUUUUUAAACAGUUGUAGCAACAUGUGGGGACGCUGUAUUUUUUUGGAACCCCACUACUUACUCUAAACUGUUGAUGUUUUGUUCCUUGAGGGCCGCAGUGUCCUAACCACCAUUUGAAAACCACAAUAAUACAUGUUUGAGAUUGUAUGUUAUUGUAUGAGAUUAUAUGUACAUUGUUUGGCUUGUAAGUGUUUUUAUAGUGUUGCACACAAAUGUAUUUAAUGGAAUUUGACAUAGCUUUGUUGCAGGAACUCACUGACUUCGUGUCUGAAUCUUGCACAUUGUCUUUUUGAUUGUAUUUGCCUAAUUGUUUACUCAUUUUUGUCAAGUAACCACUACCCUGCAGUACAAAACGUACUCACAGCAAUGUACUUAAUGGGUAAAAGGUCUAUUCUGAUCUCAGUAAUACAUAUUGGUUGUUCCUUAUACUGUACAAGUCAAAAUGUUUAAUUGGUUCUUUUCUUAUUGCCUUUUUAAAAUAUGUAUAUGGUACAUUAAUUGCCUACCCAUUAAAAAUAAACUGCUUCCUACUUUCUAAA
Acipenser ruthenus (sterlet) is the source of this 3093-nucleotide long non-coding RNA. RefSeq lists it as uncharacterized. NCBI's taxonomy places the organism in Eukaryota, Metazoa, Chordata, Actinopteri, Acipenseriformes, Acipenseridae. The transcript is spliced from 6 exons. The record is from RefSeq and is a predicted model, not a curated record.